RNAcentral lists this long non-coding RNA (1191 nucleotides) under Oryza sativa (Asian cultivated rice). RNAcentral's name for it is "long non-coding RNA (OSAT_LNC000186)". Lineage: Eukaryota; Viridiplantae; Streptophyta; Magnoliopsida; Poales; Poaceae. The record is from RNAcentral.
GCAGGCUAGGCCUGUACAAUUGGGAUAGUUCCUUGAAGCUUGCGGCACUGCCUUUUUAGCUCCUCGUUGCCGCAGGAACGGACGUUUAUUUCUCGGAGUGAAGUUGGUAGGCGGUCCUUGGGUAGCGAGCCGAUGGUUGUGCCAUCAAGUGAGCUGAUGGAUGGACAGUCAUAAAUCACUAGUUGUUGCAGUGAAUUGGGGAGGUUUCCAAGCGAGCUGAUGGCUGGACAGUAAGAAAUCCCUAGUCGUUGCAGUGAAUUGGGGAGGUUUCCAAGCGAGCUGAUGGCUGGACAGGAAGAAAUCUCUAGUUGUUGCAGUGAAUUGGGGAGGUUUCCAAGCGAGCUGAUGGCAAGACAUCCAUAGAUCCCUAAUGUCUUGAUGUUGGGGAUUUCACUAAGCCCAGUAGGGAGGGACUGCAGUUUUUUGCACCUCGAAAAUUCUAGGUCCUCAAUGGAGGUGAGAAUGUGAAGGGCCUUCUCUCAUAACUUAUUAUGAGAGAUUAUAAUAAGUUAUGUUAUUUAUUCAGAAAACAGCAGAGGGUUCAACAACAAAUUCUAAAAUUGUGUAAAAGAUAGUGAUGCUCUGACCAACUGAAUAUAAGAAAGUUGGAAGCAUCCAAGUAACAAAAACAAUAGGCAUCAGUUCCGCAUUUGUAGGUUCUAUGGGGAUGAUGAGUGAUGACUAACCAGUUGUAUACUUGUAUGUAUGUACCAAGUCACAGUAACAAAUGCAGAUAGAGCAGGGCUAUAAGAACCCCACAUGGUACCUGCAAAAAAAAAAAAAAGAAUGAACUGAUGUUGAUGUGCUAGGAAGAAAAUGGAAAGAGCAGCAACUGGAUAGUGAAAUAUGGGGAAGAAGAGAGAGUAGUAGAGAGAUUGAAGUGCUUGUUACCUUGGUGCAAGCUAGGCCUUUACAAUUGGGAUAGUUCCUUGAAGCUUCCGGCACUGCCUUUUUAGCUCCUCGUUGCGACAGUAACGGACGUCUAUUUCUCGGAGUGUAGUUGGUAGGCGGUCUUUGGGCAGUGAGCGGAUGGUUGUGCCAUCAAGCGAGCUGAUGGAUGGACAGUCAUCAAUCUUUAGUUGUUGCAGUGAAUUGGGGAGGUUUCCAAGCGAGCUGAUGGCUGGACAGCAAGAAAUCCCUAGUCGUUGCAGUGAAUUGGGGAGGUUUCCAAGCGAGCUGAUGGCUGGACAG